AGCGAACGCUGGCGGCGUGCUUAACACAUGCAAGUCGAACGUGAAAGGACUUCGGUCUGAGUAAAGUGGCGUACGGGUGAGUAACACGUGGGUAAUCUACCUCAAAGCCUGGAAUAACCUGCCGAAAGGCGGGCUAAUACUAGAUAGAACGCGUUUAUUAUAAUGAUAGACACGGGAAAGGGAGCCCGAAAGGGCCUUCACUUUGAGAUGAGCUCGCGUCCCAUUAGCUAGUUGGGAGGGUAAUGGCCUACCAAGGCAAUGAUGGGUAGCUGGUUUGAGAGGAUGAUCAGCCACACUUGAACUGAAACACGGUCCAGACUCCGACGGGAGGCAGCAGUGGGGAAUCUUGCGCAAUGGACGAAAGUCUGACGCAGCCACGCCGCGUGAGUGAAGAAGGCCUUCGGGUUGUAAAGCUCUGUCGGGCGGGACAAAAACCUAGUAGGUUAAUAGCCUAUUAGCUUGAUGGUACCGCUAAAGGAAGCACCGGCUAACUUCGUGCCAGCCGCCGCAGUAA
RNAcentral lists this ribosomal RNA (514 nucleotides) under uncultured bacterium. RNAcentral's name for it is "partial 16S ribosomal RNA". It matches the Rfam family "Bacterial small subunit ribosomal RNA", at positions 29 to 523 of the family's 1533-position model. The record is from RNAcentral.